GCCUGGGUAGCUCAGUCGGUUGAGUGACUGACUUCGGCUCAGGUCAUGAUCUCAUGGUUUGUGAGUUCGAGCCCCGCAUCGGGCU
Molecule: transfer RNA, 85 nt
Filed under: Felis catus (domestic cat)
Lineage: Eukaryota; Metazoa; Chordata; Mammalia; Carnivora; Felidae
Rfam family: tRNA
About the family: Transfer RNA (tRNA) molecules are approximately 80 nucleotides in length.
Source: Rfam by way of RNAcentral